AUGAACGCUGGCGGCGUGCCUAAUACAUGCAAGUCGAGCGAACAGACGAGGAGCUUGCUCCUCUGACGUUAGCGGCGGCCGGGUGAGUAACACGUGGAUAACCUACCUAUAAGACUGGGAUAACUUCGGGAAACCGGAGCUAAUACCGGAUAAUAUAUUGAACCGCAUGGUUCAAUAGUGAAAGACGGUUUUGCUGUCACUUAUAGAUGGAUCCGCGCCGCAUUAGCUAGUUGGUAAGGUAACGGCUUACCAAGGCAACGAUGCGUAGCCGACCUGAGAGGGUGAUCGGCCACACUGGAACUGAGACACGGUCCAGACUCCUACGGGAGGCAGCAGUAGGGAAUCUUCCGCAAUGGGCGAAAGCCUGACGGAGCAACGCCGCGUGAAUGAUGAAGGUCUUCGGAUCGUAAAACUCUGUUAUUAGGGAAGAACAAAUGUGUAAGUAACUAUGCACGUCUUGACGGUACCUAAUCAGAAAGCCACGGUUAACUACGUG
Molecule: ribosomal RNA, 496 nt
Filed under: uncultured bacterium
Lineage: Bacteria
Description: partial 16S ribosomal RNA
Rfam family: Bacterial small subunit ribosomal RNA
Source: RNAcentral